AGGAGAGUUUGAUCCUGGCUCAGGAUGAACGCUGGCGGCGUGCUUCAUACAUGCAAGUCGAACGAUAAGGUUCCUUCGGGAAUACAUAAGUGGCGGACGGGUGAGUAAUAUGUAGAGAAUCUACCUUCAAGAGGGGGACAACAGAGGGAAACUCCUGCUAAUACCCCAUAUGCGCGUAGCUGAGAUGCUAUUCGUGAAAACUCCGGUGCUUGAAGAUGAGUCUGCAUCUGAUUAGCUAGUUGGGGGUGUAAUGGACCACCAAGGCGACGAUCAGUAGCUGGUUUGAGAGGAUGAUCAGCCACAAUGGGACUGAGACACGGCCCAUACUCCUACGGGAGGCAGCAGUAGGGAAUUUUGCGCAAUGGGCGAAAGCCUGACGCAGCAACGCCGCGUGAUCGCAGACGCCCUUCGGGGUGUAAAGAUCUGUCAGUAGGGACGAAAAAUGACUGUACCUACAGAGGAAGCACCGGCUAACUCCGUGCCAGCAGCCGCGGUAAUACGGAGGGUGCGAGCGUUGUCCGGAAUCAUUGGGCGUAAAGAGUUCGUAGGUGGUUUGUAAAGUCUGGUGUUAAAGGCAGAGGCUUAACUUCUGUAUGGCACUGGAUACUUGCAGACUAGAAUGCGGUAGAGGUAAAGGGAAUUUCUGGUGUAGCAGUGAAAUGCUUAGAUAUCAGGAAGAACAUCGGUGGCGUAAGCGCUUUACUGGGCCGUAAUUGACGCUGAGGAACGAAAGCCGGGGUAGCAAAUGGGAUUAGAUACCCUGGUAGUCCCCU
Molecule: ribosomal RNA, 773 nt
Filed under: uncultured Bacillota bacterium
Lineage: Bacteria; Bacillati; Bacillota
Description: bacterial SSU rRNA
Rfam family: Bacterial small subunit ribosomal RNA
Source: RNAcentral